This 175-nucleotide ribosomal RNA is filed under the name uncultured bacterium. Its description in RNAcentral is "partial 16S ribosomal RNA". It matches the Rfam family "Bacterial small subunit ribosomal RNA", at positions 1325 to 1500 of the family's 1533-position model. The record is from RNAcentral.
GCCGGAAUUGCUAGUAAUGGCAGGUCAGCAUACUGCCGUGAAUACGUUCCCGGGCCUUGUACGCACCGCCCGUCACACCAUGAGAGUUGGGAAUACCCGAAGCCUGUGAGCUAACGUUAAGAGGCGGCAGUCGAAGGUAGAAUCAAUGAUUGGGGUGAAGUCGUAACAAGGUACC